RNAcentral lists this non-coding RNA (61 nucleotides) under Myxococcales bacterium. Lineage: Bacteria; Pseudomonadati; Myxococcota; Myxococcia; Myxococcales. The record is from RNAcentral.
CUCUCGCUCGAUGCAGCCCGGACGAGACGCGCCGUACCCGGUGAAGCCAAGACGACGCACC